GUGAUGGGGCCUGGCUUGGAGGUCGAGAAGCCACGUAAGGGUGAACGGGCCGUUCAGGGCAUUAAAUGCCAUCUCCCACGUGCGCUGUCCCUGGUGCACGAGGCGUCUUCAUUCUCGGCCCUGAACCCUGCCGCCUCCUGUGCAGGUGCCGGUGAACGAAGCUUAGCUCCUCGGGUAUCUUUUACAGUUUUGUUCUGUUUUCUGUGGACGCUUGGCAUCACCUAACAGUGCUUUGCACACAGCAGAUUCUUUACCAUCUGAACCACCAGGGAAGCCCUUCACACUAACCAGGGAGGUGAACACAGCCCUUUCUCUGCUAGAUCUCCAGCCCAGGCUGUGUUCCAGACACUGAGUUACUUUCUGGUUCCAGAGAAGGGCCUGACUUGCUGCUUGGCCUGCUCUUGUCCUUGCUACCUCCCGCCACCUUGCAGUCUUGGCUCACGGGUUCCUCUCUUUUCCCAGGACGACUUAGACACCAUGUGCCUGUGGGAGCAGUGCUUGCCGCAGCCUGCCUUCAUUCCAUCUCCAUCACUUACAGUUCAUCCAAGAGGAUAGGGACCAUGUCUGUCUCAUUCCGAAGUGUGUUUCUAUCACCGUCCUGUGCCCUGCACAUAACAGACGGUCACUAACGGUUGCCCCUGAAUGACAGUUUUAUAGAAGGGGCACCACUCAAGCCAGCCGGGCUGGGACAGUCCUUUUUCACACCUGUUUUCUUACGUAGUUUUCACAGAAAUCACUUUCAUUUCUCACAAUUGUUCUGGCUUGAAUGACAUAUUGG
Molecule: long non-coding RNA, 778 nt
Organism: Bos taurus (domestic cattle)
Lineage: Eukaryota; Metazoa; Chordata; Mammalia; Artiodactyla; Bovidae
Source: Ensembl